RNAcentral lists this ribosomal RNA (692 nucleotides) under uncultured Hyphomicrobiales bacterium. Its description in RNAcentral is "bacterial SSU rRNA". It matches the Rfam family "Bacterial small subunit ribosomal RNA", at positions 9 to 749 of the family's 1533-position model. The record is from RNAcentral. Lineage: Bacteria; Pseudomonadati; Pseudomonadota; Alphaproteobacteria; Hyphomicrobiales.
GAGUUUGAUCGUGGCUCAGAACGAACGCUGGCGGCAGGCUUAACACAUGCAAGUCGAGCGCGUAGCAAUACGAGCGGCGAACGGGUGAGUAACGCGUGGGAAUCUAUCCAGAACUAUGGGAUAACACAGAGAAAUUUGUGCUAAUACCAUAUACGCCCUACGGGGGAAAGAUUUAUUGGUUCUGGAUGAGCCCGCGUUGGAUUAGCUGGUUGGUAGGGUAAUGGCCUACCAAGGCGACGAUCCAUAGCUGGUCUGAGAGGACGAUCAGCCACACUGGGACUGAGACACGGCCCAGACUCCUACGGGAGGCAGCAGUGGGGAAUAUUGGACAAUGGGCGCAAGCCUGAUCCAGUCAUGCCGCGUGAGUGAUGAAGGCCUUAGGGUUGUAAAGCUCUUUCACCGGUGAAGAUAAUGACGGUAACCGGAGAAGAAGCCCCGGCUAACUUCGUGCCAGCAGCCGCGGUAAUACGAAGGGGGCUAGCGUUGUUCGGAUUUACUGGGCAUAAAGCGCACGUAGGCGGAUAUUUAAGUCAGAGGUGAAAUCCCAGGGCUCAACCUUGGAAUUGCCUUUGAUACUGGAUAUCUCGAGUGCAGAAGAGGUAAGUGGAAUUCCGAGUGUAGAGGUGAAAUUCGUAGAUAUUCGGAGGAACACCAGUGGCGAAGGCGGCUUACUGGUCUGUUACUGACGCUGA